Molecule: ribosomal RNA, 510 nt
Filed under: uncultured bacterium
Lineage: Bacteria
Description: bacterial SSU rRNA
Rfam family: Bacterial small subunit ribosomal RNA
Source: RNAcentral
GAUGAACGCUAGCGGGAGGCUUAACACAUGCAAGUCGAGGGGCAUCACGAGGUAGCAAUACCUUGGUGGCGACCGGCGCACGGGUGAGUAACACGUAUGCAACCUUCCCUGUACAGGGGGAUAACCCGGAGAAAUUCGGACUAAUACCCCAUGAUGAUAUUAAUGGGCAUCCAAUAAUAUUUAAAGCUCCGGCGGUACGGGAUGGGCAUGCGCGACAUUAGCUAGUUGGUAGGGUAACGGCCUACCAAGGCCACGAUGUUUAGGGGACCUGAGAGGGUUGUCCCCCACACUGGUACUGAGACACGGACCAGACUCCUACGGGAGGCAGCAGUGAGGAAUAUUGGUCAAUGGGCGCAAGCCUGAACCAGCCAUCCCGCGUGAAGGAAGAAUGCGCUACGCGUUGUAAACUUCUUUUCCAGGGGGAGAAUUUUCCUGUCGAGACAGGGAUUGACGGUACCCUGGGAAUAAGCAUCGGCUAACUCCGUGCCAGCAGCCGCGGUAAAACGUCUA